This 380-nucleotide ribosomal RNA is filed under the name uncultured bacterium. RNAcentral describes it as "bacterial SSU rRNA". It matches the Rfam family "Bacterial small subunit ribosomal RNA", at positions 840 to 1218 of the family's 1533-position model. The record is from RNAcentral.
UGAGUGACGCAGGUUAACGCGGUGAAGUCGACCGCCCUGGGGAGUACGGCCGCAAGGUUAAAACUCAAAGGAAUUGACGGGGACCCGCACAAGCGGUGGAUGAUGUGGAUUAAUUCGAUGCAACGCGAAAAACCUUACCUACCCUUGACAUGCCAGGAACCUUGCUGAGAGGCGAGGGUGCCUUCGGGAGCCUGGACACAGGUGCUGCAUGGCUGUCGUCAGCUCGUGUCGUGAGAUGUUGGGUUAAGUCCCGCAACGAGCGCAACCCUUGUCACUAGUUGCCAUCAUUUGGUUGGGCACUCUAGUGAGACUGCCGGUGACAAACCGGAGGAAGGUGGGGAUGACGUCAAGUCCUCAUGGCCCUUAUGGGUAGGGCUUCA